Molecule: unclassified non-coding RNA, 380 nt
Filed under: uncultured Gammaproteobacteria bacterium
Lineage: Bacteria; Pseudomonadati; Pseudomonadota; Gammaproteobacteria
Description: contains 16S-23S intergenic spacer region
Source: RNAcentral
UCGCGGCUUAUCACCGGCAGUCCCCUUAGAGUGCCCAACUGAAUGAUGGCAACUAAGGGCGAGGGUUGCGCUCGUUGCGGGACUUAACCCAACAUCUCACGACACGAGCUGACGACAGCCAUGCAGCACCUGUGUUACGGCUCCCUUUCGGGCACACCCCCAUCUCUGGGGGCUUCCGUACAUGUCAAGGGCAGGUAAGGUUCUUCGCGUUGCAUCGAAUUAAGCCACAUACUCCACCGCUUGUGCAGGCCCCCGUCAAUUUCUUUGAGUUUUAAUCUUGCGACCGUACUCCCCAGGCGGAUGACUUCUCGCGUUAGCUGCGUUACUAAAGGAUUUAACUCCUCCAACAACUAGUCAUCAUCGUUUAGGGCGUGGACUAC